UCGACUAUUGGAGUACCAAGCUUGCUGGCCCAAAAUGGUCACCAUUUGCUUCAUGGAUAACUGGCUGGUAUAUUGAGAUGAUUUCUUUGGAGCAAUUCUUGACAACAUUUGUAGUUGAGGCCUUUAGAAUGGAAGAAUGUAUUUCACUAAUUUUUGUGUAUAUUUCUUGUUUUGUAUUUAGUGAUAAAGGAAUCUGAAUUGGGCAUAAAUUAUGUUGUAAUAUGAUUUCUUAAGCCUAGACUAGUAGACUAAAUAUUGUAAUUACAUUUGAGUAAUUAAUAAAAAUCUAUUUAUGUUACCUUA
Molecule: long non-coding RNA, 303 nt
Organism: Humulus lupulus (European hop)
Lineage: Eukaryota; Viridiplantae; Streptophyta; Magnoliopsida; Rosales; Cannabaceae
Exons: 2
Source: RefSeq, a predicted model, not a curated record